Long non-coding RNA from Drosophila mojavensis, 1015 nucleotides. RefSeq lists it as uncharacterized. Lineage: Eukaryota; Metazoa; Arthropoda; Insecta; Diptera; Drosophilidae. The record is from RefSeq and is a predicted model, not a curated record. The transcript is spliced from 2 exons.
GUCUACAAAACAUAAAUAUGAAUUAGAGGUGUACAUGAAAAUACUCAAAAUAACAUAUAAAUUUACAUUAAUUGAGCAAACAAAAAAGUCAUCUAAUGUUUCACAUAUUUAAGGUUCGCUGCCAGCAUAACAGCAGACUGCUCUACUCACGCAACAUGUUGCUAAGACUCAGCUGUUUGAGCAAAUACCGAAAACGAAUUGACUCGGUCACACAGCGACCAGGCCGAGCAGCCCGGUCACAUUGCCAGAAAUUUUUGUUGUUGUCAGUCCUAUCACGACUUUCGCAUAAACGACACGCAUAAAAUCGGUAAGAAGACGCCGCGUGUGUUUGAUGCAAAAGGCAGAGGAAAAAAUUAAUACAUACACACACAUGUAUUGCAAAAGCAAUUUCGCUACUGCCUAUCAAACUUCGGGUAGUGUGAUAGAAAGAUAAUGCAAUAAAUAUUCUGUGCUCCCCCAAACAAACGUGACCAAAUGCACAAAUAAAAAAAUUACAACAAAUACAAAAUAUAUUCAAUUGAUUGCCGUCGGUCUCGUUCGCGCUCUCUCUCUCGCUCGCUCGUUCGCCUCGCUCUUUCCCUCUGUGUGUGUGGCUGUGUCUUUAAAUGAAUGUGUGUACGCGUUAAUAAAACACAAAUAAUAACAAAUUCGUCAGACUUGCUGCAUUUUAGUCGUUGUUGCAGUUCCGCUGUGAACCACUGUGUUGCCGUCUCAGCUCGCGCCGCGCUUUGAGUUUGUAUUUGUACAUUUCACAUCGUCUCUCUCUCACACUGCCGCCGCCGCCGCCAACGACGCUGCACGCACACACACAUACGCAAGCCGCACGCAAAACCAAACACACACACAUUCAUAUAUACAAAUGCGGAAGAGUCGCCGCAGUCGGCAUAUUUAGCUCCCCACCGUUGCCAUCAACAAUAAUUCGCUGCCGUUGCCUCUGUCGCCGCCGCAGUCGUCGCUCAAUAAUUGUGCAUUUUGUUAAAAGUCGCCAUCACCAACAGCAACAACAACAGCAUAA